UGACGAGUGGCGGACGGGUGAGUAAUGCUUGGGAAUCUGGCUUAUGGAGGGGGAUAACUGUGGGAAACUGCAGCUAAUACCGCGUAUUCUCUGAGGAGGAAAGGGUGGGACCUUAGGGCCACCUGCCAUAAGAUGAGCCCAAGUGGGAUUAGGUAGUUGGUGGGGUAAAGGCCUACCAAGCCUGCGAUCUCUAGCUGGUCUGAGAGGAUGACCAGCCACACUGGAACUGAGACACGGUCCAGACUCCUACGGGAGGCAGCAGUGGGGAAUAUUGCGCAAUGGGGGGAACCCUGACGCAGCCAUGCCGCGUGAAUGAAGAAGGCCUUCGGGUUGUAAAGUUCUUUCGGUAAUGAGGAAGGGAUGUUGUUAAAUAGAUAGCAUCAUUGACGUUAAUUACAGAAGAAGCACCGGCUAACUCCGUGCCAGCAGCCGCGGUAAUACGGAGGGUGCGAGCGUUAAUCGGAAUAACUGGGCGUAAAGGGCACGCAGGCGGACUUUUAAGUGAGAUGUGAAAUCCCCGAGCUUAACUUGGGAACUGCAUUUCAGACUGGGAGUCUAGAGUACUUUAGGGAGGGGUAGAAUUCCACGUGUAGCGGUGAAAUGCGUAGAGAUGUGGAGGAAUACCGAAGGCGA
RNAcentral lists this ribosomal RNA (633 nucleotides) under uncultured Pasteurella sp. RNAcentral describes it as "bacterial SSU rRNA". It matches the Rfam family "Bacterial small subunit ribosomal RNA", at positions 89 to 718 of the family's 1533-position model. Lineage: Bacteria; Pseudomonadati; Pseudomonadota; Gammaproteobacteria; Pasteurellales; Pasteurellaceae. The record is from RNAcentral.